UAGGGAAUCUUCGGCAAUGGGGGGAACCCUGACCGAGCAACGCCGCGUGAGUGAAGAAGGUUUUCGGAUCGUAAAGCUCUGUUGUUAAGGAAGAACGAGUGUGAGAAUGGAAAGUUCAUACUGUGACGGUACUUAACCAGAAAGGGACGGCUAACUACGUGCCAGCAGCCGCGGUAAUACGUAGGUCCCGAGCGUUGUCCGGAUUUAUUGGGCGUAAAGCGAGCGCAGGCGGUUAGAUAAGUCUGAAGUGAAAGGCAGUGGCUCAACCAUUGUAGGCUUUGGAAACUGUUUAACUUGAGUGCAGAAGGGGAGAGUGGAAUUCCAUGUGUAGCGGUGAAAUGCGUAGAUAUGUGGAGGAACACCGGUGGCGAAAGCGGCUCUCUGGUCUGUAACUGACGCUGAGGCUCGAAAGCGUGGGGAGCGAACAGG
RNAcentral lists this ribosomal RNA (429 nucleotides) under Bacteroidota bacterium. RNAcentral's name for it is "Bacteroidetes bacterium partial 16S ribosomal RNA". It matches the Rfam family "Bacterial small subunit ribosomal RNA", at positions 355 to 776 of the family's 1533-position model. Lineage: Bacteria; Pseudomonadati; Bacteroidota. The record is from RNAcentral.